AGUAACGCGUGGGUAACCUGCCUCAUACAGGGGGAUAACAGUUAGAAAUGACUGCUAAUACCGCAUAAGCGCGCAGUGCUGCAUGGCACAGUGUGAAAAACUCCGGUGGUAUGAGAUGGACCCGCGUCUGAUUAGCUAGUUGGUGGGGUAACGGCCUACCAAGGCGACGAUCAGUAGCCGGCCUGAGAGGGUGAACGGCCACAUUGGGACUGAGACACGGCCCAA
RNAcentral lists this ribosomal RNA (225 nucleotides) under uncultured bacterium. Its description in RNAcentral is "partial 16S ribosomal RNA". It matches the Rfam family "Bacterial small subunit ribosomal RNA", at positions 109 to 334 of the family's 1533-position model. The record is from RNAcentral.